UUGUUUGGAUCUGGGGGGAGGGAGGUACAUGGGAUGGCGGUGUUGUGCCUUUAAUGACAGUGUGGCUGUGUUUUUUAAUUGAUGGUUAAAAGCAACGAACUUAAGCUUGUGUUUGCGUCUACUUUUUAUUAUUCAUCGUGAAAUUUUUCAUUUACCACUGGUUUUACAUCUGCAUCUCAUUGGCAUUUGUUAAUCCAAAAACCCCUAAAGAAUGCUGUGUUAGCUUUCUUAACAAAGCUUUUUAAUUUUCUUUUGGUUUGAUUUCCACCAAACACGUUUGAACUGAUGACAAGUUGGUUCAUUUGAAUAAGAACAACCAAAAGACAGUGCAGUUUUUUAAGCUUCCAGUUUCUCGUGCCAGCCACUCUUUACAGCAAAAAGAGGUUUACUCCUUCUGGUCUCCCGCUUUGCUUGGUUUGUGUAAAAGGUUUCCUUCGUCCCCCAAGCCCCAAGCUGGCUGACUGCCUUAGUGGGUGCUGUACUUCCUUCUCCGUAAGGAGCUGGAUUCCCAGGAGCCAAGUGGAAGCCGCCCUCCCAGCCUCUUCACUGCCCUCCUGGUGCCCUCGGGGCCUUGGCGGUGGGAAGGAGCUCACACUGGGACGUGCUGCUGCCUCCCUGAGAGAGUGUGGACGGCUCCUGCCUCACACAGCUGUCGUCAGGCCCGAGUGGACGCUGUUCCUGUUUGUCAAGUAAAAGCCAAAUUAGAAGAGGAAAAGGAGACUGCAUGAGCUCGUGUGGGAGGAGGCUCAGCGGCAGUGCAGAGCUGUGGUGAUUGUCAUAUCUGGCAGUCCUUGCUCCGUGACACCGGUCACGCAGACACACGCCCUGCGAGGGCCGUGCCCUGUGCCAUCCCUGCAGCAGGGCUACCACCAGCGCUCCACGUGUCAGAGUGGAGGAUGUGUCUGUCGCCUGGUAACUGUGCGGUGGCAUGGGGCGGGCACCAUUUGCAGAGGCUCCAGCGUGAGGGAAGUGGCUGUGCCGUGGUUUGGUGAGAUGGGACCCGAGGGAGCCCUGGGCGCGUGGGCCACGCUCAGAGUCAUGUUAGAGCCCGCCACACUCAGAGUCACAUUAGAGACAGAGCCCGCCACGCUCAGAGUCACGUUAGAGACAGAGCCCGCCACGCUCAGAGUCACGUUAGAGACAGAGCCCGCCACGCUCAGAGUCACGUUAGAGACAGAGCCCGCCACGCUCAGAGUCACGUUAGAGACAGAGCCCGCCACGCUCAGAGUCACGUUAGAGACAGAGCCCGCCACGCUCGGAGUCACGUUAGAGACAGAGCCCGCCACGCUCGGAGUCACGUUAGAGACAGAGCCCGCGGCCCGGGUGAAGUGCUAGCAGGCAGCGUGGAGAGGGCGCCUCCUCUCUGACUCGCAGGACUCGUGUUGGAAGGGUUAGGGGGUGUGUGAUCGACUGUUGGAACUGACGAUUGUAAGUAAGGAACAGUGGUUUCUUACAGUUGUCACAAAGAAUAUAGGAUUUGUGUUCUGAAUUGUCAAUUUCCUUUUUAUUUUUUUUUAUUUUUUUAUUUUUUGACAGGCAGAGUGGACAGUGAAAGAGAGAGACAGAGAGAAAGGUCUUCCUUUGCCGUUGGUUCACCCUCCAAUGGCUGCCGCGGCCGGCGCACCGCGCUGAUCCGAUGGCAGGAGCCAGGAGCCAGGUGCUUUUCCUGGUCUCCCAUGGGCUGCAGGGCCCAAGCACCUGGGCCAUCCUCCACUGCACUCCCUGGCCACAGCAGAGAGCUGGCCUGGAAGAGGGGCAACCGGGACAGAAUCCGGCGCCCCGACCGGGACUAGAACCCGGUGUGCCGGUGCCGCAAGGCGGAGGAUUGGCCUAGUGAGCCGCGGCGCCGGCCCGAGGAAUGUUCUUUCUAUACCCAAUUUGCUUACAGUUUUCAUCAUGAAAUGGUGUUGUAUUUUAUCAAAUGCUUUCUCUGCAUCUAUUGAGAUAAUCUUAUGGCUUUUGUUCUUCAAGUUGUUGAUGUGAUGUAUCACCCUGAGUGAUCUGUGAAUGUUGAACCAUCCCUGCAUACCUGGGAUAAAUCCCACUCGGUCUGGGUGAAUGAUCUUUCUGAUGUGUUGUUGGAUUCUAUUGGCUAGAAUUUUAUUGAAGAUUUUUGCGUCUUAUGUUCAUGAGGGAAAUUGGCCUGUAGUUCUCUUUGUUGUGUCUUUUUCAGGUUUGGGAAUUAAGAUGAUGCUGGCUUCUUAGAAGGAGUUCAGGAGGAUUCCCUCCCUUUCAGUUUAUUUGAGUAGCUUGAGAAGAAUUGGAGUCAGUUCUUUAAAGGUCUGAUAGAAUUCAGCAGUGAAGCCAUCCGGCCCUGGGCUUUCCUUUCUUGGGAGGGUCUUUAUUACCGAUUCAUUUUCCAUCUUGGUUAUUGGUCUGUUUAGGUUUUCUGUGUCUUCAUGGCUCCAUUUUGGUCGGUUGUAUGUGUCCAGGAAUCUAUCCAUUUCCUUUGGGUUUCCUGUUUGCUGGCAUACAGCUCUUUGUAGUAAUUUCUGAUGAUUCUUUUUAUUUCUGUGGUGUCUGUUGUUACAUUUCCUUUUUCAUCUCUAAUUUUAUUGAAUCGUGUCUUCCUCUUUUUUUGGUUAGGUGGGCCAAUGGUGUGACAAUUUUGUUUUUUCAAAAAAGCCAGCUUUUCAUUUCGUUUCUUUUGUAUCAGUUUUUUGUUUGUUUGUUUCAAUUUUAUUGAUUCUUCUCUAAUUUUAAUUAUUUCUUUUCUCCUACUAGUUUUGGCCUUGGUUUGCUGUUGUUUUUCUAAGUUCAUGACUUAGACCGUGUGGUAUCUGUACAUGAGAGCAGUUCCAUGCUUUAUCACGCAGAAACCCAGGUUCUUCGGCUCCGGGUAGAAAAACAACCCAAGCUCAGUUUCCCAUUCUCUGUGCACACAGCAGCAGUCACUUCUUGACCCCAGAAUGUGUGGUGGCUUCUCCCCGUCGGCAGGCAGGCAGCAGUUCUGCAGCGGGCCCGAGCUGGACAGCGUCAGAUCUAAUUCAGUCCUGAUGCGCUGCCCCACCUGGGGGUACAUCGCAUCCCAAGUCCAGGCCUCCAGAACUUGUGAAUAGCCAGCCGCCAGUGGCCUCCCGGGCCUUCUUUAGGCUGCAUUAAUUCGCUAGAGCAGCUCACAGAACUCAGAGAAACAAUUGCAUUUACCUUUUUAUAGUAAAAGUUUUUUUUAUUAAGAUUUAUUUAAUUUUGUGAAGGCAGUGUGACAAAGGAAGAGACUUAAAAGGAGCUCUUCCAUCUGUUGGUUCACUCCCCAGCUGGUCUAGGCCAGGCGGACGCAGAACUGCACCCAGAUGUCCGCUGGGUGGCAGGCACAGGCACCCAGCCCUGUCUGGCUCCCAGGUUCCUGAGCAGGGAGCUGGGCCGGAGCAGAGCUACCAGGAUUGAAACCAGCGCUCCCACGUGGGGCUGCGCCGCGAACAGCUCAACCCGCUGUGCCACAACAGCGACCCCUCAAAGCCUUUUCUUUUUUAAGAUUUAUUUGUUAUUUAUUUGAGAGGGAGAGAGAGAGAGAGAGGUCUUCCAUCUGCUGGUUCACUCCCCAGAUGGCUGCAGCAGCCAGAGCCGGGCCAGACUAAAGCCGAGAACCAGGAAUUUCUUUCAGAUCUCCCACAAGGGUGCAGGGGCCCAACCUCUUGGGCCAUCUUCCGCUGCUUUUCCAGGCACAUUGGGAGGGAGCUGGAUUGGAAGUGGAGCAGCCGGGACUCCAACCAGCACCCAUGUGGGAUGCUGGCAUCACAGGCAGCAGCUUUACCCGCUGCCCCCCAGUGCCAGCCCCUAAAAGCUAACUUCAGAUACACCUCUCUCCUCCAUGUGUGCCUGCUGUCAGUGGACUUCAGCUUAAAAGCAGGAGCCCAGGAGGUUCUGGCUGAGGCUGUGUAAAUUUCCUGAGUGAAAACUGCUGUUGUGAGAGAAGAGCCGUUCCUGUCUGGCGUCGGCUCCCACCACAGACGCCUGGCCCGGAGCUUCUCUCUGACCCUGGAGGCCCCAGGCCCCUCCAGGCCUCUGCACGCUGUCCGUCUCCUCUCCAGGGCUCUCCCAGGCACUGUCCCCGAGAUGGGAGUGGCCUCCCAGGCACUAGCACACACUGGGCCCGCUGACACCGUCGCGUUAGUUUAAGCCUUGCUUCCUGGAAGGAGCCACUCAGUCUCUCAAUGGCGUUCUUCGAUCCCACGGUGAAUUUCUGUUGUUGCCAUGAUUGGUGACUGUGUGUCUGGGAUAUUAGAGGUAGUACCACUUCCUGUAUCCAAGCUGUACGGACAGAAAUCAUAUCUGCUAUUUCCUCAGUAUUCCCAGUGCCUGCCACAAAAUACACCCUUACUAAAUAAUUCCUGAAUAAGCAAGCAAGGGGGCCGGCAGCAUAGCAUGGUCGGCUCACAUCCCACAUGGGUGCCAGUUUGAAUCCUGGCUGCUCCUCUUCCGACCCAGCUCUCUGCUGUGGCCUGGGAAGGCAGUGGAAGAUGCCCAAGUGCUUGGGCCCUGCCCCCACGUGGGAGGACACCGGGAAGAAGCUCCUGGCUCCUGGCUCCUGGCUUCGGCCUGGCCCAGCCCUGGCUGUUGCAACCAUUUGGAGAGUAAACCAGCAAAUGGAAGACUUGUCUCUCCUCUCUCUGUAACUCUGACUUUCAAACAAAUAAAUAAAUCUUAAAAAAAGAAAGAAAGAGAAGAAACAACAACAAAAAGAAGAGUCUGGGAGACGAGGUCAACAAGCAGGAAGCGCGGAGGUGGAGGAGUCUGAGGCGUGCCGAGAGGCGUGCGGCCGCCUGUCCCUGCCGACGCCGCGAGUGCCUCAGGAGGGCGCUGGGAGUGACCUGCAGACUGUCCGGCCAGCCCAGUGUGACUAUGCCACUUGAAAAUUUUAGCUGAAAGCAGAAAAUUCUUUAAAGCAGAAAAUUGUUUUGAAAGACUUGCUCUCUACUAGAGAGAGUGAGCCUCCACUUUUCACCAGCAGAUGUCGCCCUUAUUUUUUUUUUAAAUGCUUAUUAGACAACAAGGAAGGAAGGUGCCAGUUUGCUGAAAGUUUCGUGUCAUUAGCUGUGGCGUCCCUGAGUGGUUGCUCUUACUUUUUCUGAUUAAAACACGUGAUUGGCUGAUGCUCCGUAAACAGAAUCGGGUUGAGGUCCCAUUGCCCCUCCGUCUUCUGUGCUAUGUGGGCCCUGCUACCAGCAGGGCGGGAUCCUGUGGGCACCCGUCCCUGCCGUUUGGCCGGAAGGAGGCUGGCAGGAUGGCGGGAUGUCCUGGUGCUUUGAAAUUUGGAUCUGAAGAAAGAAUGUGGCUAAUCAAGAACUGCCCACUGGACUAACCUGAAUGCAAGGACAAUGCGAGUUUUGAGGCCUUCCCGUUGCCAUUUGAGGUUGUAUUAGGUGGCUGCUAGUUUCCAAGAUCCUGACAGUAGUGGCCUAAACCAGAGAAGGUUGAUCACUGCCUCCUGCGGAGGAGCCCAGAGGGGACUCUGGCAGCUCUGGCAGCUCCGACUUCCUGUCCCUCCUGUCCCAUCGCUUCACUGAGUGAGGUCUCGGCCUUUCUCUCCGUCCAGAGUGACCACAGAAGAGCGGCUACCGUGUCAGCACCCAGUGGCGGGCGUGGGCCAGCUGAAUGCACUGUGUGGUGUGAGACCCCAGGGGCCCCUGGUCUCUGUCCAACAAGUACUCGAUGACAUUUUCCUGUGUGCAAGACAGUACACUGGAGCUUCUCUGGAUAAUACAGGCAUAUAUAUAUAUAUAUAUAUAUAUAUAUAUAUUUAAAAGAGUUCCAAAAAGGAAGAGACAGAGAAAGAGAGAUCUUCUGUCCACUGGUUCACUCCCCAAAUGGCCACAGUGACCAGGGCUGGGCCAGGCCAAGACAGGAGCCAAGAGCCUCUUCUGGGUCUCCCACGUGGGUGCAGGGCCCAAGCACCUGGGCCAUCCUCUGCUGCUUUCUCGUCAUUAGCAGGGAGCGGGAUCAGAAGUGCAGCAGCCGGGUGUCUGACUGGUACCGGUAGGGGCAUCGCAGGCGGUGGCCUUCCCUGCUGGGCCGCCACACGAGUCCCGGAACGCAGGCUUUUAAAGGAAAGACUCUCACCCGCAAAAGCUUGUGAUCUGUCACGCUUUCUGGUUUUCCAAUCCCUGCUUCACCUUUAACCUUUAUAGAAAGAUAAUUAUUUAAAUGUAAUGCAUUUCUGAGAAACCAGCUUCAACUUUAUCUCUUUCAAGAAGACAGUUGCCAGGGCCGGCGCUGUGGCACACACAGGGGUUAAAGCCCGGCCUGCAGCAUCGGCAUCCCACAUGGGUGCAAGUUCGAGUCCCGGCUGCUCCACCUCCAAUCCAGCUCCCUGCUGAUGCACUUGGGUUAAGCAGCGGAGGGCAGCCCAAGUCCUUGUGCCCCUGUGCCCAUGUGGGAGACCCACAGGAAGCUCCUGGCUCCUGGCUUCAGAUCAGUUCAGCUCUGGCCAUUGUGGCCAUUUGGAGAGUGAACCAGUGGAUAGAAGACCUCUCUGUCUCUACCUCUCUCUGUAACUUUCAAAUAAAUAAAAUAAAUCUUUUUUUUUUUUUUAAAAAGGUAUUUGCCAUUUCUAGACCAGCACCAUCCAAUAGAAAUAUAAUGCAAGUCACAAACAUGAGGUGCAUUAAGUCUGUUUUAAAAUAAUCUAAUAAUGGGGGCCGGCGCUGUGGCAUGGCGGGUAAAGCUGUUGCCUGCAGCGCCUGCAACCGAUAUGGGUGCCAGUUCAAGUUCCAGUUCUACUUCCCAUCCAGCUCCCUUCAGUGUUAAGGCAGUGGAGGAUGGCCCAAGUCUUUGGGCCCCUGCACCCACGUGGGAGACCCAGAUGAAGUUCCUGGCUCCUGGCUUUGGCUUGGCCCAGCCCUGACCAUUGCAGCCGUUUGGGGAGUGAACCAGCAAAUGGAAGAUAAUCUGUGUGUGUGUGUGUGUGUGUGUGUACACCUGCCUCUGCCUCUCCUCUGUAACUCUUUCAAAUAAAUCAAUCUUAAAAAAAAAAAAAAAAAAAAAAAACAGGAGGGGUGGGCUUUGGCAUGCAGUUAAAAUGCUGCUUGGGACCCCACAUCCUGCAUCCGAGUGUCUACUUUGAGUGCCAGCUCCACUCCCAAUUCCAGCUUCCUGCUCAAGUGUUCUCUGGGAGGCGGCAGGGAUUAGCUGCAGUACUUGGGUCCUGCCACCGUGUGGCAACCUGGACUGAAAUCCAAGCUUUGGACUUCAGCCUGGCCCAGCCUCAGCUGCUGUGGGCAUUUGAGGAGUAAACCAGUGGGUGAGAGCCAUCGCUGUCUGUCGCUUUGUGUGUGUGUGUGCCUUUCAAGUACUUUUUAAAAUGACAGGUGGAAUUAGUUUCAGUAGUGUGUUUUAAACUUGGUAUAUCCAAAAUAUUACCAUUUCAAUAUGAAUUCAAUAUAAAAAUUACUAGUGAGAUGCACCUCCCUCCUCCCUCCCUCUCUCACUGAGGCCCAGCACCCAGCAGGCACUGUCUACCACAGCACAUCCCAGUGUGCACAGCAGGCGCUCAGUCGCCACGUGUGGCGUGUGGUGUGGUUGGUGUGGUUAGUGCUGCCGCUGGGGGCUGCGUGUGCUCAUCUGCCCACUCUAAACUUCUCUGAGACUUCCAGUCAGCUCCACGUUCUUUAAUUACUCGAUGUGUUUUCCAAGUUUAUCAGUUCAGUUAGUGAGAAGCUGUUUUCCACUUCCGUGCCUUCCUGCUGCAGCCAGCAGACCCUGGGCUUCCCCCGGAUCCUUGUGUGACUUCUGGGCCUCCCCCGGAUCCUUGUGUGACUUCUGGGCCUCCCCCUGAUCCUUGUGUGACUUCUGGUUGUGUCCGGUUUGAAGGGGAACAGCUUCAAGAGGCGUGACAAGCAGGCCGCUUCAGGUCAAAGCUGGCCUCUGAGCUGGAGGCCACCCUGGGGCUGUGUGGGCUUCAGCAGCGCAGGGACACUGCUGAGAAUAGAGUCCUCCAGGGAGCCGCGGACUGAGCAGGCCCCUCGGCCAGGCCCAGCGGUGCUGUGACACACUAAGCCCUCAGCUUCCUGUCUUCCCAGCUUAAUGACAUCAUCUUAAGAUGAUGAGGAUCGGCUGAGAGCUGCUUAUUUAUAACUACUUUUACUUCUUUAUGAAAAGAAAACAAUGAGAUUUUGAGAUACAUUACUGGGAUUCCCAGAAAAGCUAUCCAUCUUGACGCUCUAAUACGGCGAGUAGCUUGCAGACUCCCUGUAGUAAGUACUGCGGACUUUGUUCGCCAACUUCAGUCCCUGUCGGAUUUGCUUCCUUGGUUUUUUCCUCCAUCCUUUGAAAGCGUCAGGAGCCCUUGAACCUGCUCAGACCCUCCAGAGAUACCAGCAGUCCGAGGCAGGGGUGCCGAGGGCACAGCAGCUUCCUCCAGGGAGAGAAACAGACACACAGGCAGGGCCUUGAGGACUCUGGCCACGGAGGGGUCCCCUGGAGAGACCGAGGAGGAAGCGGCCUCACGGACACCUGGCUUUGACGGCGUGUGCGCCACGGUGCUGUCUACACAAAAGCAGGUGUCGCUCGAAGGCCAAAGGCAUUUACAAGUUAAGUGGAAAGGAAACACCAAAAAAUGUUCAAAUAAGAUAAAAGGAACCUUCUGGAUGAUGACAGGGCGCCAGCAGGGGCAGCUUUACCUCCACAGAGUGUGGGCUUCAAUAAGCCCUCAAGCGACUCUUCCUGUUUAUUUAAGUUUAUUAUGUCAGAGACAGGCACAAACAGGCCUUCAGUGGCUGGGACUGGGGCAGGCUGGAGCCCAGAGCCAGGAACUCAAUGCACGUCUCCCACGUUGAGUGCCAGGGACCCAAGUAUUUGAGCUGUCACCUGCUGCCUCCGAGGGUGGACACUGGCAGGACACUGGAGUUGAGAGCAGAACCGAGGCUCGAACCCGGCACUCCGACAUGGCACACUGGUGUCUUACCCACUGUGCCAAAUCCCCGUCCCCACCCCUUCUACCAGUGAUUUUAUGCAA
This is a non-coding RNA of Oryctolagus cuniculus (rabbit), 8953 nucleotides long. Lineage: Eukaryota; Metazoa; Chordata; Mammalia; Lagomorpha; Leporidae. The record is from RefSeq and is a predicted model, not a curated record.